GCUCGGUGGCUGAGGGGCCGUCCCGGCCGGGCGGGCUUCACCGCGUGGGCGCGGCAGUCGCCACUCACCGAGGUUGACGACCUUGAGCGCCGUGAAGAAGCGGUUCUGCCGGGCCAGGUCCUGCCAGGGAGCCUUGGAGCAGUGGCGUGGGUUCUCACUAUGUUGCUUAAGCUGGUCCAGAACUCAAGCCAGUCUCUCACUUCAGCCUCUUGAGUCGUUGGGAUUACAGAAGCCACCAUGUCCAACUAGACAAGAUCUUGUUGCCCAGGCUGGUCUCAAACUCCUGCGUUCAAAUGAUACUCUCGCCUUGGCCUCCAAAAGUGUUGGGAUUGCAGACCUGAGCUACUAUGCCUGGCUGAAUUCUAUUUCUAUUGGAUUGGUUGUAAAGAAGUGCAUUGUAGCCUGCAAAGGAGCAGGGCCAGUGGGGUGGAGAGGGCAGAAGUGCUACAGAGGCCCCUGCUCUCCACUGCCCUGACUGCUACUGUGCUGGAUGCCGUGUGAACCACAGCUGCAUCUGGAGGCCUUGGGCAGACCAUGCUUGUGAAAAUACCAGGACGGUAAAUUAGUGAAUUCCAAAGUCAGGAUUUUUGUUGGAUCUGGCACAGUCACAGGAAAGUCUGAGUUUUCUCAAGGGCAUCCCUGUCUCACCGAGGGGCACCAAGGACAGACGACCAGAAGCAAAUGGCGCAGUCACCGUCAGAGGAGAGUAAAACUCAUUCUGAAACGGUUCCAAAUGCCCAUGCCUGCUCUGUGGUUUUCAGCAAAGCGGACCUUUCCAAAAGACCUCCAACAGGGACUUCCUGGAUGUGAGAACACUAACCAAUUCUCGUUCCUCUCAUCUUUUGCUUUAUUCCUUCCUUCCAUGCUGUUAUUGCGAAAAACUGGUAGUUAAAUUCAAUUGAUUCAAAAUAUUCGGGAUCCAUAUGGCCGCCAACCCUGGAGCUGAAGCGGCGAUAGCGCCUCACUGCUGUUUUCAAGCAUUUGCCUCUCCUCCAGUCCCCAGAUGGUGGGAGUAACAUUUAAACCUCCUUUUCUCUGCCUUGUACAAUAGACCUUGGCACCAUUUCAACUGUUUACUCCGGUAAUUAACAGCUCUGAUACCACAACAAUUACAACUCCUACACUCUCACCACAAUAAUGCUAUGAAUUAGUGAGAGCUAAUGGCUGGAAGGUAGAGUGUUUCCAGACUGUGGGAUCUGUGCAUUUUUAGAAUAAAAUAAAAGGUACAAACAGCACGCUUGCAGUAGACAAUGAUUACCUAGUAAUUAGUUUACACAAAGCUUCCUAUUUAAUGGCAAAACGCUGUAAUUAACGUGUGACAGAAAAUCAAAGGGUACUUUGUAAGCAUAUUAAAAAUUAACACUGCAGGCCCAUAGCUUUAUGUACUGAUUAGAAGCAUAUUAAAUCAAUAGGACACACAAACCAACAGCUUGGGUAGCUGAUUAUUAUAGGUCCUCAGAAGGGGUACCCUGGCUUUCAUUUCACUUGGGGAGGCAAUUUUCCUUCUCCUGUCAUCUUCCUCAGGCACAGAGAAACACCUCAAACUCAACCCUGGCAGCUUCAUGAAAAUAACCACUGAACUGGAAGAAAACAUUCUAAGUCAUUCUCAGAGAUGAAGACAAAUAUGUAAAUGAUUAAGACUUUCCAAUGAUUGUGGUGACGUGCUGCUACACUAAUUAGAAAAUACACCAACUGGAACCAGAAAAUAAAGCCACUGGGUUGCAAUCUUCCGGUCAGAAUAAUCUCUACUUUGUCAAGCCUCUUUAUUCAACUCAUAGAAAGUUCAAAUAAAUGGAACUGUUUUAUAUUUCUAAAUGAUAAGAAAGCAGGCUGCUAUGAAGACUUAUUCUUUCCAAGGCACUGUCUGGGUAAAGCAUAGGCUGGGAACAACUGGAUCAACCAACAUUCUGUAUCUUCAACAGCCACAACCCCAUAUAAUGAUGGCUGAUGGACAUAGACAGCAAUAUCCUGGAAGCCUACCAGAGCCUAAAGAACCUUCUGAAUCACCAAAGAAAGAUUAAGUUGUAUGUACUUGUUCAAUGUUACCUGUAUUUUGUUAUAAUACAAUUUUAUGGUAAUAAUAACAACAAUAAUAAUAGGUAGCAUUUCUUAAAGUCUUAUUAUGUGCUAAGCACACUGCUAGCCAAUUCAUAGAAUUAUCUCAUUUACUUGUCACCACUUCCCCAUGAGACAGGUACUAAUCUCUCUUUACAGAUAGAGAAAGGGAGACUUGGAGAGCUGAAGUAAUUUGCCUAUAGUUAUCCCCCAGGGAGCAUGGGAGUCUAACCUAGGUGUCCCUGGCUAUGGAACCCCAGGAAGCCAAACUACCUCUUAGUUACCCUGAAUGACUAGCCUGUUCCAACACUCAUUCUGCUUAAAAGGCAGUUUACUAUGUCAACCUGGAAUAGGAG
Long non-coding RNA from Homo sapiens (human), 2411 nucleotides. Ensembl annotates it as IQCH antisense RNA 1. Its record names the gene IQCH-AS1. The record is from Ensembl. Lineage: Eukaryota; Metazoa; Chordata; Mammalia; Primates; Hominidae.